GCGGNANGCUUUACACAUGCAAGUCGAACGGCAGCACGGACUUCGGUCUGGUGGCGAGUGGCGGACGGGUGAGUAACGCGUGGGAACGUGCCCUUUGGUUCGGAAUAGCCCCGGGAAACUGGGAGUAAUACCGGAUAAGCCCUACGGGGGAAAGAUUUAUCGCCAAAGGAUCGGCCCGCGUUGGAUUAGGUAGUUGGUGGGGUAAUGGCCUACCAAGCCGACGAUCCAUAGCUGGUUUGAGAGGAUGAUCAGCCACACUGGGACUGAGACACGGCCCAGACUCCUACGGGAGGCAGCAGUGGGGAAUCUUAGACAAUGGGGGAAACCCUGAUCUAGCCAUGCCGCGUGAGCGAUGAAGGCCUUAGGGUUGUAAAGCUCUUUCAGUGGGGAAGAUAAUGACGGUACCCGGAGAAUAAGUCCCGGCUAACUUCGUGCCAGCAGCCGCGGUAAUACGAAGGGGAC
RNAcentral lists this ribosomal RNA (462 nucleotides) under uncultured Rickettsia sp. RNAcentral describes it as "bacterial SSU rRNA". It matches the Rfam family "Bacterial small subunit ribosomal RNA", at positions 39 to 535 of the family's 1533-position model. The record is from RNAcentral. Lineage: Bacteria; Pseudomonadati; Pseudomonadota; Alphaproteobacteria; Rickettsiales; Rickettsiaceae.